GGGGCUGAUUCUGGAUUCGACGGGAUUAGUGAAGCCCGAGGUGCACGUCGAGGUGCGGUAGGCCUCGUAAAUAAACCGCAAAAAAAUAGUCGCAAACGACGAACAAUACGCUUUAGCAGCUUAAUAACCUGCUCAUAGCCUUCGCUCCCCAGCUUCCGCUCGUAAGACGGGGAUAAAGCGGAGUCAAACCCAAACGAGAUCGUGUGGACGCCGCCGUUUGAGGAUCGAAGCAUUAAAUUGAAUCAAACUAGCUUAAUUAUCGCGUGUCUGUCCGCAGGGUUAAGCGAAUUUUAAAGACUGACUAAACGUGUAGUACUAACGGUAGAGGAAUUCCGGACGGGGGUUCAACUCCCCCCAGCUCCACCA
This 366-nucleotide transfer-messenger RNA is filed under the name Pasteurellaceae. RNAcentral's name for it is "Aggregatibacter sp000466335 Standard tmRNA". It matches the Rfam family "transfer-messenger RNA". From Rfam's summary of the family: Bacterial tmRNA, also known as 10Sa RNA or SsrA, is named for its dual tRNA and mRNA-like properties. Lineage: Bacteria; Pseudomonadati; Pseudomonadota; Gammaproteobacteria; Pasteurellales. The record is from RNAcentral. RNAcentral also lists the same sequence under 1 other name.